Molecule: ribosomal RNA, 328 nt
Filed under: uncultured eukaryote
Lineage: Eukaryota
Description: partial 18S ribosomal RNA
Rfam family: Eukaryotic small subunit ribosomal RNA
Source: RNAcentral
CCCUUAGAUGUUCUGGGCUGCACGCGCGCUACACUGACGCACGCAACAGGUGCCUGCUCCGAGAGGACUGGGUAAUCAUUUGAGUGUGCGUCGUGAUGGGGAUAGAAUAUUGUAAUUAUUACUCUUCAACGAGGAAUUCCUAGUAAGCGCCAGUCAGCAGCUUGCGCUGAUUACGUCCCUGCCCUUUGUACACACCGCCCGUCGCUACUACCGAUUGAAUGGUUUAGUGAGAUCUUCGGAUUGGCGCCACUGCGGCUCAGCAAUGGGCUCGGUGGAUGCCGAAAAGUUGAUCAAACUUGAUCAUUUAGAGGAAGUAAAAGUCGUAACA